Molecule: ribosomal RNA, 486 nt
Filed under: uncultured bacterium
Lineage: Bacteria
Description: partial 16S ribosomal RNA
Rfam family: Bacterial small subunit ribosomal RNA
Source: RNAcentral
GAUGAACGCUAGCGGCAGGCUUAACACAUGCAAGUCGAGGGGCAGCGCGGGAUAGCAAUAUCCUGGCGGCGACCGGCGGAAGGGUGCGUAACGCGUGAGCGACAUGCCCGUUGCCCGGGGACAACCGGUGGAAGCGCCGACUAAUCCCCGAUGGGAUACGAUGCUUCAUGGCAUUGUAUUGAAAGUUACGGCGUCGGCGGAUUGGCGCGCGUGCGCUUAGCUGGGUGGCGGGGUAGCGGCCCCCCAAGGCUGCGAUCGGUAGGGGUUCUGAGAGGAAGGCCCCCCAAGAGGGGAAUGAGACACGGCGCAUACGCCUACGGGAGGCAGCAGUGAGGGAUAGUGGUCAAGGGGAGGAAGCCUGAACCAGCCGAGCCGCGUGCGGGAAGGAGGCCGUGUGGGCUGUGAACCGCUGUUGCGUGGAGGGAAUAAGGGCGUCGCGCACGUCCGAUGAGGGUACCAGGCGAAUAAGCAUCGGCUAACUACGUG